UACGUAGGGGGCAAGCGUUGUCCGGAUUUAUUGGGCGUAAAGAGCGUGUAGGCGGUUUGGUAGGUCCGCUGUGAAAACUCGAGGCUCAACCUCGAGACGCCGGUGGAAACCAUCAGACUAGAGUCCGGAAGAGGAGAGUGGAAUUCCUGGUGUAGCGGUGAAAUGCGCAGAUAUCAGGAGGAACACCGGUGGCGAAGGCGGGUCUCUGGGCCGUUACUGACGCUGAGGAGCGAAAGCGUGGGGAGCGAACAGG
Molecule: ribosomal RNA, 253 nt
Filed under: uncultured bacterium
Lineage: Bacteria
Description: partial 16S ribosomal RNA
Rfam family: Bacterial small subunit ribosomal RNA
Source: RNAcentral